Molecule: non-coding RNA, 1230 nt
Organism: Erythranthe guttata (spotted monkey flower)
Lineage: Eukaryota; Viridiplantae; Streptophyta; Magnoliopsida; Lamiales; Phrymaceae
Source: RefSeq, a predicted model, not a curated record
GGCCCGUUUAUUCACAAAACGGCGUCGAUUAAAUCAAGCUGCCUGCUAUAUCUUUUCCCUUUUCUUUUAAUCUCGAUUUUUUCCCCCUUUCUCCUCUCUUCCUUCUACCGCCGCAAUUGCUGACCGCCGCUCCGCCAUCAUCUUGUUGGGAAGUACGUCUGAAAAACACCUCCCUGGAAGAACAGAUAACGAGGUGAAGAAUUUCUGGAACUCCACAAUCAAAAAGAAGCUCGCCGCCCAUCAGAAGAAGCUCGCCGCCGCCGCCGCCAAGGCUGCCUUAAUCUCUCCCAACAAUCUUCCUAUCGCCGCCGCCGCCGGAAUGAUUCCCCUGCACAUGGACCAAAUCUACAUCCCCAAACCCUACCAGGGUUUCGAUCCGGUUCGAGUUCGAAUACGCUAAUUACCAUCCCGUCGAUACUCCACCGAUUCCCGACGAAACUUCGUCAGCGGCGGCCGUGCAAGAAACCCAAGCUGAAGACGACCAAGGUUCAUCAUCAAUGGCGGCCGCCGUGCAGUACUCUUCAUCUGCUGCUUCGCAAGAGCCUCUUGAUCUCAUCUUAUAAAGUUUAUUCUGAACUGGAUUUAUUUUCUUUGUUGCCUUGCUUCUCGCCGCCUCCGCUGCACUUCUCCAAGGUUUCACCAUUGUUGCAACGAAAAAGGAAGAAGAAAAAUCAAAGCAAAGAAUAACAAAGAUAGAGAAAGGAACAAAAUGACAGUCUAUACGGCCAAAAACCGUAGGAUGAGAGGUACACAAAUUUUGGAUUGGAAGUUGUUUCCCUUUUCUUUAAGAUCCUGAGCCCAACAAUUUAGCCAUUGCCCUUUCUUCCGAUUUUAGUUUAUGGUGCACGGAAGUUGACAGCCAGUCCUUCCAUCCAUAGACAUGGACGUGCAACUUCCGAGAGGUUCGAUAUUUGUGUAAUUUGUGUUUUCUGUUACCUACAAGAGGGAAUCAUAGGAGAACGAAUUUGUGCUCAAUUAUGCUUCCAUGCUCUUGACUAGAUUGUCCAUGUAUUUGUGCAGAUUGUAGUAUCGUUACGGGAAAAUACUUUUGCGCUACUGAAAAUUAAAGGGAAGAAAACAGGGGGCAAUGCACAGCCGGCUUUACACCACAUCAAAUGCCACUCUUUAUUUGUGUGUUUUCCUAUUGUGGUUUUUCGGUUUUGUAUUGACUCAACAACUCUUCUCCUACUAUCAGUAAUCGCACGAUUUCAUCGUCGACCUUUUGCACGA